GCGGGUGUGAUGUAAUCGGUAGCAUCUGAGUGCGCCAUACUCAGUGCGUGGGUUCAAGUCCCUCCACUCGCU
This is a non-coding RNA of Nostoc calcicola FACHB-389, 72 nucleotides long. NCBI's taxonomy places the organism in Bacteria, Bacillati, Cyanobacteriota, Cyanophyceae, Nostocales, Nostocaceae. The record is from Rfam.